Molecule: long non-coding RNA, 360 nt
Filed under: Junco hyemalis (dark-eyed junco)
Lineage: Eukaryota; Metazoa; Chordata; Aves; Passeriformes; Passerellidae
Description: lncRNA (ENSJHYG00000003469.1)
Source: RNAcentral
CAGCCUGAUUCUGGGUCAGGGAGCAGCAAACACACGCUCCUGUGUGCACACACUCGCUCGCUGUAAGGCGACACACUCCCCAGAACAGAUGGCUCCAGCCCGGCCUGAGCACAUGCACUCAGGGAAAAUGACUUUUUUUUUAGCAGGGUAAUGUUCAGUGACUGCCAGUGAAGGAGCUACUGCUGGUGAAAAAAUCCCACAUUUCCACAGAGUUGCUGCCUGGGAAGCCUGGGCAAUGUGGUCACCAGCACCUGCUGGCGUGUGCAAGCUGUGAGUGCCAGGCCUUCUGCUAAAGAGCCUCAAGGAAGCAUCCUGAUGGAAAUAAAUAAAUUAAAAAUAAAUAAAUAAAUGAACCCAAGC